AGCAGCCGCGGUAAUUCUAGCUCCAAUAGCGUAUAUUAAAGUUGUUGCAGUUAAAAAGCUCGUAGUUGAAUUUCGGGAUCAAUAUGUUGGUCGUGCCUUGGGUACGUACUAGUUUAUUGGUUUCUUCCUUCUGACGAACCAUGAUGUCAUUAAUUUGGUGUCUUGGGGAAUCAGGACUGUUACUUUGAAAAAAUUAGAGUGUUUAAAGCAGGCUCACGCUUGAAUACAUUAGCAUGGAAUAAUGAAAUAGGACGUUUGAUUCUAUUUUGUUGGUUUCUAGGAUCGACGUAAUGAUUAAUAGGGGUAGUUGGGGGCAUUAGUAUUCAAUUGUCAGAGGUGAAAUUCUUGGAUUUAUUGAAGACUAACUACUGCGAAAGCAUUUGCCAAGGAUGUUUUCAUUAAUCAAGAACGAAAGUUAGGGGAUCGAAGACGAUCAGAUACCGUCGUAGUCUUAACCAUAAACUAUGCCGACUAGGGAUCGGAUGAUGUAAUUUUUAAUGACUCAUUCGGCGCCUUACGG
This 520-nucleotide ribosomal RNA is filed under the name uncultured Glomus. RNAcentral's name for it is "SSU rRNA". It matches the Rfam family "Eukaryotic small subunit ribosomal RNA", at positions 569 to 1093 of the family's 1831-position model. The record is from RNAcentral. Lineage: Eukaryota; Fungi; Glomeromycota; Glomeromycetes; Glomerales; Glomeraceae.